ACGCUCGACACCUACGGGAGGUAGCAGUAGGGAAUCUUCCACAAUGGGCGCAAGCCUGAUGGAGCAACACCGCGUGAGUGAAGAAGGGUUUCGGCUCGUAAAGCUCUGUUGUUGGAGAAGAACGUGCGUGAGAGUAACUGUUCACGCAGUGACGGUAUCCAACCAGAAAGUCACGGCUAACUACGUGCCAGCAGCCGCGGUAAUCUGAGCGGGCUGGCAAGGC
RNAcentral lists this ribosomal RNA (223 nucleotides) under uncultured bacterium. Its description in RNAcentral is "partial 16S ribosomal RNA". It matches the Rfam family "Bacterial small subunit ribosomal RNA", at positions 328 to 539 of the family's 1533-position model. The record is from RNAcentral.